Non-coding RNA from Spinacia oleracea (spinach), 107 nucleotides. The record is from Rfam. NCBI's taxonomy places the organism in Eukaryota, Viridiplantae, Streptophyta, Magnoliopsida, Caryophyllales, Amaranthaceae.
GUCCCAUGAUGAGGGCACUCAGGUUGAUACUCUUUGAAUCGGUCCGAAGCUUCAAACAAGGAUCCAUCCCUUUUUUUCUCAAAGGAUUGAAUCUUAUUUCGGUACUC